GCUAGAAAGAGGUUCAGUCUAGCUAUCUGAGGAGGUCCCAUGGAGAUCCGCAUAGAGAAAAGGAGGGAUCUGGUGGCCAGCCGCUGGCUGCUGGCCCCUGACAGCCAGCCAGAGGCAGUCGGAGAUAGCCGAAAGCAUCAGGCCACUGAGGAGUAAUUGCUGGCAUCAGGUUUCUUCACUGAUUAAAACCAAGCUGCUUUGAGCAGUUGUUAACCCUUUCCUUGCAACUUCUCGGUCUCAACAAUUGAAAAUCAGCCUGCUUGUCAAACAGUUUGCUUAAGGUUUUAAGGUCCUUACAAGUAAGAAAUGAGAUCUUAAGAUAAGCUCCUAGGAUCGGAGCAGUUUACGUGUCUGUGUCUCUGUUGUUUGUCUUCUGGCUUUUGCUGUUUGUCUUGUGCGUCUUUCUGUAUUUGAACGCAGGUAUGUGGAUGUGUGGGAGAGGGUGUCCUAUAGGGUUCUUUGAGUCUUUGUUGUGGUUGGAUUAACAGGAAAAAAAAGGGGGGGGGAGUUUGGGAUGCAGGGUCAUAAAGGAGAAUAGAUUUUGCACCCCUGCUCCCUCUGCCUGAGUUCCAACCAAGCAGGCUAUGAUGAAGUAACACUGUGCCUGCUCCUGCAGCCAGCUUCAGGGCGGGAGAGAGAGUGCAAUUACCUGUUCAAUGAUUUUUCCCUCCUUCUCCCUUUGGAUGGGCCCCCAAAGGAGUGGAAGAGAGAAAAUUCUGAGCAGAAAAGGGAGAUUCUUACUCCACAGUUAGAAACUUUCACUUAAAAUUAAUUCUCAACUUGGGUGGAUUGCUAAUGAUUUUGAUAUGGUACAAAUGUAAUAUAUUACAACAAAACUCCUGAUUAGAAGUUUGCUUUGUUAAACCUUGCAAUGAAUAAUGAUUUCAGUGAAUUUGAGAAUUGUGUAAAUGUGAUUGAUAGCAAGUCUGAUGCAGAGAGGAAAGUCUAUUCUGUAUGGCAGAAAUUGUACUGACUACUUUAUAGAUGUAAAAGUCAUUCAGAAAAACUUGUGUUGUUGAAAAGAACUUAUUCUAGAAUUUGAAUUUGGGAAUCCUUCAAAUCACAUUUAUUUUAAUGUAUGUGAUGUCAGAAAUAGCAGCAAGAAAUUAUAUUACACACAAAGAGUUUUUUUUAAUAGUUAAUCUGUGCAUGGGAUUAAUGAGAUAAGUGCUAAAAAUUGAUAUUUUACAAAAGGGGAAAUUUUUAAAUGAUCAAGGUUAUAUGAAUUGUUUUUAAAUGUGCAAAAUACAAAGGAAGGAAUUUGUAAUCUAGAAAUGAACAUGUAUGUAUUCAGAUGCCAAAUGCUGGAAAUUAGUAAUGCUGAGUGAAUGCUAAAUAUGUAUGCAUUAUAUUAUGAAGAGGAUUAAGUUUUCCACCUAAAUAGGUUAAGAGUAUAUGACAUACAAUCUGUAUGCCCUUAACAAGACAAAUUUAACCAGCCCUGUAAUCGAGAGGGCUUUUCAUGAGGAUUAAAUACAGUCUAGCUCCAGAUAUAUCAGAGAGGUCAGGCUGGAACGCCAGGUAACAUGUAGCUAACUAGGGAAAGGUGAUUAAGUACAUGUGAAAGGAAAUAACUUCAUAUCUUAUAACCUAGCUAGAUAAGUUAAUAAUUGGAUUUUGGGGUGUCUGGAUUCAUUUUAUGAAGUGCUUCAUUUCAAUGAGAGUAAUGAAUAGAGAUAUUAGUUGAUAUUAUGAUACAACAAAUUAUAAAUUGGAAUUUAAUCAAGUAUGUAGCAAUAUUUUGAGCUAAAAGAAAACUAAACAGGAGGAUCUAAAUGCUUUGUACUUCAGUUUGGUUACACACUGAAACAUUGCUAAAGAACUUAGUCAAAGUUAUUUGGAAGUUGUGGAGUUCAAACUAAAAGUUCACUGAGAGUAAAUUAUUAUGAAAGAGGUUUGAUAAAUUCAAAAUUUUAAAUUGCAGUAAGCUAGUCACUGGUUAAAGACGGAUGGGCCAGGGUUGCUAAGUAAUAAAAUCUAAGUCAAGGCUAGCA
Molecule: long non-coding RNA, 1994 nt
Filed under: Monodelphis domestica (gray short-tailed opossum)
Lineage: Eukaryota; Metazoa; Chordata; Mammalia; Didelphimorphia; Didelphidae
Description: lncRNA (ENSMODG00000049476.1)
Source: RNAcentral